GGGUUGUGAGGUUAAGCGACUAAGCGUACACGGUGGAUGCCUUGGCAGUCAGAGGCGAUGAAGGACGUGCUAAUCUGCGAUAAGCGUCGGUAAGGUGAUAUGAACCGUUAUAACCGGCGAUUUCCGAAUGGGGAAACCCAGUGUGUUUCGUCACACUAUCAUUAACUGAAUCCAUAGGUUAAUGAGGCGAACCGGGGGAACUGAAACAUCUAAGUAUCCCGAGGAAAAGAAAUCAACCGAGAUUCCCUCAGUAGCGGCGAGCGAACGGGGAGCAGCCCAGAGCCUGAAUCAGUAUGUGUGUUAGUGGAAGCGUCUGGAAAGGCGCGCGAUACAGGGUGACAGCCCCGUACACAAAAAUGCACAUAUUGUGAGCUCGAUGAGUAGGGCGGGACACGUGGUAUCCUGUCUGAAUAUGGGGGGACCAUCCUCCAAGGCUAAAUACUCCUGACUGACCGAUAGUGAACCAGUACCGUGAGGGAAAGGCGAAAAGAACCCCGGCGAGGGGAGUGAAAAAGAACCUGAAACCGUGUACGUACAAGCAGUGGGAGCACGCUUAGGCGUGUGACUGCGUACCUUUUGUAUAAUGGGUCAGCGACUUAUAUUCUGUAGCAAGGUUAACCGAAUAGGGGAGCCGAAGGGAAACCGAGUCUUAACUGGGCGUUAAGUUGCAGGGUAUAGACCCGAAACCCGGUGAUCUAGCCAUGGGCAGGUUGAAGGUUGGGUAACACUAACUGGAGGACCGAACCGACUAAUGUUGAAAAAUUAGCGGAUGACUUGUGGCUGGGGGUGAAAGGCCAAUCAAACCGGGAGAUAGCUGGUUCUCCCCGAAAGCUAUUUAGGUAGCGCCUCGUGAAUUCAUCUCCGGGGGUAGAGCACUGUUUCGGCAAGGGGGUCAUCCCGACUUACCAACCCGAUGCAAACUGCGAAUACCGGAGAAUGUUAUCACGGGAGACACACGGCGGGUGCUAACGUCCGUCGUGAAGAGGGAAACAACCCAGACCGCCAGCUAAGGUCCCAAAGUCAUGGUUAAGUGGGAAACGAUGUGGGAAGGCCCAGACAGCCAGGAUGUUGGCUUAGAAGCAGCCAUCAUUUAAAGAAAGCGUAAUAGCUCACUGGUCGAGUCGGCCUGCGCGGAAGAUGUAACGGGGCUAAACCAUGCACCGAAGCUGCGGCAGCGACGCUGAUGCGUUGUUGGGUAGGGGAGCGUUCUGUAAGCCUGUGAAGGUGUGCUGUGAGGCAUGCUGGAGGUAUCAGAAGUGCGAAUGCUGACAUAAGUAACGAUAAAGCGGGUGAAAAGCCCGCUCGCCGGAAGACCAAGGGUUCCUGUCCAACGUUAAUCGGGGCAGGGUGAGUCGACCCCUAAGGCGAGGCCGAAAGGCGUAGUCGAUGGGAAACAGGUUAAUAUUCCUGUACUUGGUGUUACUGCGAAGGGGGGACGGAGAAGGCUAUGUUGGCCGGGCGACGGUUGUCCCGGUUUAAGCGUGUAGGCUGGUUUUCCAGGCAAAUCCGGAAAAUCAAGGCUGAGGCGUGAUGACGAGGCACUACGGUGCUGAAGCAACAAAUGCCCUGCUUCCAGGAAAAGCCUCUAAGCAUCAGGUAACAUCAAAUCGUACCCCAAACCGACACAGGUGGUCAGGUAGAGAAUACCAAGGCGCUUGAGAGAACUCGGGUGAAGGAACUAGGCAAAAUGGUGCCGUAACUUCGGGAGAAGGCACGCUGAUAUGUAGGUGAAGUCCCUCGCGGAUGGAGCUGAAAUCAGUCGAAGAUACCAGCUGGCUGCAACUGUUUAUUAAAAACACAGCACUGUGCAAACACGAAAGUGGACGUAUACGGUGUGACGCCUGCCCGGUGCCGGAAGGUUAAUUGAUGGGGUCAGCGCAAGCGAAGCUCUUGAUCGAAGCCCCGGUAAACGGCGGCCGUAACUAUAACGGUCCUAAGGUAGCGAAAUUCCUUGUCGGGUAAGUUCCGACCUGCACGAAUGGCGUAAUGAUGGCCAGGCUGUCUCCACCCGAGACUCAGUGAAAUUGAACUCGCUGUGAAGAUGCAGUGUACCCGCGGCAAGACGGAAAGACCCCGUGAACCUUUACUAUAGCUUGACACUGAACAUUGAGCCUUGAUGUGUAGGAUAGGUGGGAGGCUUGGAAGUGUGGACGCCAGUCUGCAUGGAGCCGACCUUGAAAUACCACCCUUUAAUGUUUGAUGUUCUAACGUGGACCCGUGAUCCGGGUUGCGGACAGUGUCUGGUGGGUAGUUUGACUGGGGCGGUCUCCUCCUAAAGAGUAACGGAGGAGCACGAAGGUUGGCUAAUCCUGGUCGGACAUCAGGAGGUUAGUGCAAUGGCAUAAGCCAGCUUGACUGCGAGCGUGACGGCGCGAGCAGGUGCGAAAGCAGGUCAUAGUGAUCCGGUGGUUCUGAAUGGAAGGGCCAUCGCUCAACGGAUAAAAGGUACUCCGGGGAUAACAGGCUGAUACCGCCCAAGAGUUCAUAUCGACGGCGGUGUUUGGCACCUCGAUGUCGGCUCAUCACAUCCUGGGGCUGAAGUAGGUCCCAAGGGUAUGGCUGUUCGCCAUUUAAAGUGGUACGCGAGCUGGGUUUAGAACGUCGUGAGACAGUUCGGUCCCUAUCUGCCGUGGGCGCUGGAGAACUGAGGGGGGCUGCUCCUAGUACGAGAGGACCGGAGUGGACGCAUCACUGGUGUUCGGGUUGUCAUGCCAAUGGCACUGCCCGGUAGCUAAAUGCGGAAGAGAUAAGUGCUGAAAGCAUCUAAGCACGAAACUUGCCCCGAGAUGAGUUCUCCCUGACUCCUUGAGAGUCCUGAAGGAACGUUGAAGACGACGACGUUGAUAGGCCGGGUGUGUAAGCGCAGCGAUGCGUUGAGCUAACCGGUACUAAUGAACCGUGAGGCUUAACCUUACAACGCCGAAG
This 2925-nucleotide ribosomal RNA is filed under the name Escherichia coli. RNAcentral describes it as "partial 23S ribosomal RNA". It matches the Rfam family "Bacterial large subunit ribosomal RNA". The record is from RNAcentral. Lineage: Bacteria; Pseudomonadati; Pseudomonadota; Gammaproteobacteria; Enterobacterales; Enterobacteriaceae.